UGAAAGAAUGAGUAGCUGCGACAAGUUGGUAGCGAUGAGCUGAUGAAGAUGAAGAAGGUGGUUCAUAAAGGGGAUUACCUCGGGCAAGAGGUACAUCAAGCUGGUAUUUCAGGAAGCGAUUUCUCUAGCAGGAGAAGGGAUGAUACGGUAAAAGAAGUUGUAGGAUAAGGGAAAUUUGGUAUGCGUUCCCAUUUUUCCUUGCUCAUGCUUUGUUCUCCUUCUUGUUCUUGACCCAUAUGUCUCUGUUCAUUUGGCUCUUGAAGUACCUACGUAGCAAUCGCUUAUGAGGGUUGAAAAGAUUGGGUGUAUGAUAAAGUCAAUGGAUGGGACGACUGCGAGAUGUGAAAGGGUUGAAAACUGUAUGACAACGGCAAGGGCCGAGGACGACGUAGCGACAAGUGCCUCUCCUCAAGGCGAUGGCGGAUGCCAAUCCUCCUCAAAACCGAGAAGCCGGAAGUAGAAGUGAUGGGUGGAUGCACUGGAGAGUUGAGAUAAAGCAAGGCCGAAAGGGAGAAAGUGGGGGAGAGAAUGGCUGUAUUGACCCUCAACAACCCUUCUACCCCCACAUUUUUCGAAGAAUGGAGGCUGGAUGCUGAAAGAGGGACAUUAAGAAUGGUCGGCUGUCUCCUAGGUAUAAGGCUCUCUGUCCGAGACCGGAAUUCAAUAGCCGAAGUCCCUAAAAUGUGUACAUACUGUAAACCUUUUACAACUUUUAUGUUUGAAGGCGCACAUAACAAAGCUGUAAAACGCUAUCUUAUAGAUCUCAAUGCACAAAU
RNAcentral lists this small RNA (776 nucleotides) under Cryptococcus neoformans H99. RNAcentral describes it as "Cryptococcus neoformans var. grubii H99 hypothetical RNA". Lineage: Eukaryota; Fungi; Basidiomycota; Tremellomycetes; Tremellales; Cryptococcaceae. The record is from RNAcentral.